CCUAUUUCCUUUCCCAAUAAAUAUUACAGUUUUGGCAGAGCAUGCUAGUUUUUCCACCUAUUUUGUCAAGAUUUGAAAAAAUCAGGCCUGCAUACAUUUCAAAAGCCUGUGUGACUGUGAAAAGUAACCAUUUUGAGAGCAGUGCUGAGUGCAACUAAUCUGCCUAGUGAUACCACACCCAAAAGAAACCACUCCUCCUGAAGGGAGGAGGGGACUCUUAAAGGGCCAGACUUAAAAAAUUUUUUCUGUUGCAAAAGGCUUUUCAAGAUACAAGACGGCAAAGAAACUAUUACUUGCCAUGGGUUAUCUAGCCUGGAUUGCAUAUUUCUUGUAUAUGUUUUACAACUUAUUUUUUGUUAUGAUUCCGGAUUAUAUUUAUUUUCUGUUUAGCAUUUAUGAAACAUUGCAAUGGCUGAAUAUAAGUAUGUAUCGCUUGAUUUCAUUCAUUCCCACAUAUGCUGAAGCAUUAUUCUUCAUAACCAAAUUAUACUAUGCCCUAAAAAUAGGUGUGCAUCUAAUUUUUGGGAAAAAAGCAAAAGAUAAUGAAAUGGCUGUGACGAUUUUAGCCAUAAAAGAGGAGAUGAUGCAACUAAAGGAAAUGAUGAAGCAACUGAGUGAAGAGAUACAAUGUGGCAAAGGUAUUAACACACAACAAGACAUACCUAAAAAUAACAGUGUAGUUCAGCAAGAAAAUACAGAUGGUGGAAUACCAAUAUUGCCACUAAGAGAUCAAACAAGCCUACAACCAGAUAACAGCAUAAUUCAUAUUAAAACACAUAAACCAUUUACAACAGCUGACCUUGAAAGUCUGAAAAGACAGAUUCCUUCCUGGUUUUCAGAACCGAUGACAUGUUUAAAAGAAUUUAAAAGAGCAAUUAGGCUUUAUGAUCCAGAUUUCCAGGACACUGAAAUUCUUCUCUCAGAAUUAUUUUCAAAAAGGGAAAAACAACAAUUCAUUGAUGAAACAAGAAGCAAUCCAAAUUUAACAUCAUGGCCAGAGGAAGGAACAGACUUAGAGUUAUCUAAUAAUGAAAAUCUAAGUUACCUAAGAAAGGCCAGAGAAGAUUUAUUAGAGGCAAUGAAAAGUUUUUCAAAAAGACCAGAUACUUGGGGAAAAUUUGAGAAAUUGAGACAGGAAAGUGGGGAACAUCCAUCAAAGUUUCUCGAUAGAGUGAUUGAAGUAGCAGAGGAUGUGCUUGGAUUUGAAAAUUUAACUGAACAAAAUCUCCAACACAUAAGGAGACAAUUUGUGAAAGGCAGUAACACACCUAUUAGAUCAUAUUUUAAACUUCAAUGCCCAGAUUGGGAAACACUAAGUCUGGAAGAUUUAAGAAAAACUGCAACUUACAUAUUUUCAGGUCAUAAAGAAAUGCUAGAGGAAAAGGAUGAAAUAAUAAAAGAGCUUAAAGCCAAGCUCAAGGAGGCAAAUAGCACAAGUAAAUAUAAGGAAAUUGAAGAAAUAAAAAAUCUAGCCACUCUGCAAUCGUAUAAACCCACAAGAAAUUACACACAAAGUAAUCAAAGGAGAAAUUUACCCAGAUGUUUCCUCUGUGGAAAAAUAGGUCACAUGGUUCGAGACUGUUAUUUAAAGGCACAAUUAUUCC
Molecule: long non-coding RNA, 1604 nt
Filed under: Monodelphis domestica (gray short-tailed opossum)
Lineage: Eukaryota; Metazoa; Chordata; Mammalia; Didelphimorphia; Didelphidae
Description: lncRNA (ENSMODG00000045429.1)
Source: RNAcentral